UACGUAGGGUGCGAGCGUUAAUCGGAAUUACUGGGCGUAAAGCGUGCGUAGGCGGUUCCGUGUGUCGGGUGUGAAAGCCCCGGGCUCAACCUGGGAAUUGCAUUCGAAACUGCGGAUCUAGAGUGCGGAAGAGGGAAGCGGAAUUCCCGGUGUAGCGGUGAAAUUCGUAGAUAUCGGGAGGAACACCAGAGGCGAAGGCGGCUCACUGGGCCUUAACUGACGCUCAUGCACGAAAGCUAGGGUAGCGAACAGG
RNAcentral lists this ribosomal RNA (253 nucleotides) under uncultured bacterium. RNAcentral's name for it is "partial 16S ribosomal RNA". It matches the Rfam family "Bacterial small subunit ribosomal RNA", at positions 524 to 776 of the family's 1533-position model. The record is from RNAcentral.